UGCUUUUGAUGGGCGUCGACCGGCGCACGGGUGAGUAACGCGUAUCCAACCUGCCCACCACUUGGGGAUAACCUUGCGAAAGUAAGACUAAUACCCAAUGAUAUCUCUAGAAGACAUCUGAAGGAGAUUAAAGAUUUAUCGGUGAUGGAUGGGGAUGCGUCUGAUUAGCUUGUUGGCGGGGUAACGGCCCACCAAGGCUACGAUCAGUAGGGGUUCUGAGAGGAAGGUCCCCCACAUUGGAACUGAGACACGGUCCAAACUCCUACGGGAGGCAGCAGUGAGGAAUAUUGGUCAAUGGACGAGAGUCUGAACCAGCCAAGUAGCGUGCAGGAUGACGGCCCUAUGGGUUGUAAACUGCUUUUAUAAGGGAAUAAAGUGAGUCUCGUGAGACUUUUUGCAUGUACCUUAUGAAUAAGGACCGGCUAAUUCCGUGCCAGCAGCCGCGGUAAUACGGAAGGUCCGGGCGUUAUCCGGAUUUAUUGGGUUUAAAGGGAGCGUAGGCCGGAGAUUAAGCGUGUUGUGAAAUGUAGAUGCUCAACAUCUGCACCGCAGCGCGAACUGGUUUCCUUGAGUACGCACAAAGUGGGCGGAAUUCGUGGUGUAGCGGUGAAAUGCUUAGAUAUCACGAAGAACUCCGAUUGCGAAGGCAGCUCACUGGAGCGCAACUGACGCUGAAGCUCGAAAGUGCGGGUAUCGAACAGGAUUAGAUACCCUGGUAGUCCGCACGGUAAACGAUGGAUGCCCGCUGUUGGUCUGAAUAGGUCAGCGGCCAAGCGAAAGCAUUAAGCAUCCCACCUGGGGAGUACGCCGGCAACGGUGAAACUCAAAGGAAUUGACGGGGG
This 842-nucleotide ribosomal RNA is filed under the name uncultured bacterium. RNAcentral's name for it is "bacterial SSU rRNA". It matches the Rfam family "Bacterial small subunit ribosomal RNA", at positions 76 to 919 of the family's 1533-position model. The record is from RNAcentral.